This 520-nucleotide ribosomal RNA is filed under the name Notopygos sp. Vanuatu. RNAcentral describes it as "partial 16S ribosomal RNA". It matches the Rfam family "Bacterial large subunit ribosomal RNA", at positions 1809 to 2607 of the family's 2925-position model. Lineage: Eukaryota; Metazoa; Annelida; Polychaeta; Eunicida; Amphinomidae. The record is from RNAcentral.
AAAAACAUAGCUCUCUGAUGAGAAAAUAGAGAGUUUAUUCUGCCCAGUGAACAUUUAAACGGCCGCGGUACCCUGACCGUGCAAAGGUAGCAUAAUAACUCGCCUCCUAAUUAGAGGCUGGAAUCAACGAACGCACGUGGGCUUAGCUGUCUCCGCAAAAAUCCCAGGAACUUAACCUCCAGGUGAAAAGGCCUGGAUUUAACUAAAAGACAAGAAGACCCUAUCGAGCUUAAUUAUCACUUGAUAGCUCUAAACCACUAGAUGGACUUUUUUCUAUUAAGGACUAAUUUAGUUGGGGCAACUAAGGAACCACCUAAGCUUCCUCUAAAUCUUUAUCCAUCACCCAGACCCAGUCCACCUGAUCAAAGGAACAAGCUACCGUAGGGAUAACAGGUUAAUUUUUCUCGAGAGCCCACAUUGACAGAAAAGUUUGACACCUCGAUGUUGGCUUAGGUUAUCCCGCUAGUGCAGAAGCUAGCAAGGGUGGGUUUGUUCAACCUUUAAAAACCUACGUGAUCUG